Molecule: ribosomal RNA, 468 nt
Filed under: uncultured bacterium
Lineage: Bacteria
Description: partial 16S ribosomal RNA
Rfam family: Bacterial small subunit ribosomal RNA
Source: RNAcentral
GACGAACGCUGGCGGCGUGCUUAACACAUGCAAGUCGAACGGAAAGGCCCUGCUUUUGUGGGGUGCUCGAGUGGCGAACGGGUGAGUAACACGUGAGUAACCUGCCCUUGACUUUGGGAUAACUUCAGGAAACUGGGGCUAAUACCGGAUAGGAGCUCCUGCUGCAUGGUGGGGGUUGGAAAGUUUCGGCGGUUGGGGAUGGACUCGCGGCUUAUCAGCUUGUUGGUGGGGUAGUGGCUUACCAAGGCUUUGACGGGUAGCCGGCAUGAGAGGGUGAACGGCCACAUUGGGACUGAGAUACGGCGCAGAGUCCUACGGGAGGCAGCAGUGGGGAAUAUUGCACAAUGGGCGGAAGCCUGAUGCAGCAACGCCGCGUGCGGGAUGACGGCCUUCGGGUUGUAAACCGCUUUAGCCUGUGACGAAGCGUGAGUGACGGUAAUGGGUAAAGAAGCACCGGCUAACUACGUG